GAUGAACGCUAGCGGCGUGUCUAAGAUAUGCAAGUCGAACGUCGUCUUGUUGGUGCUUGCACUAACAAGAUGUAGUGGCGGACGGCUGAGUAACACGUAGGAACCUACCCCCCGGUAGAGAAUAGCCCCGAGAAAUCGGGGGUAAUGCUCUAUAGUCCCGAUUUAUCGGGUAAAGGACUUAACUGUUCGCCGAGGGAGGGGCCUGCGGCCUAUCAGGUAGUUGGUAAGGUAACGGCUUACCAAGCCUAUGACGGGUAGCUGACCUCAUGAGGGUGAUCAGCCAGAGGAGGACUGAGAACGGCCUCCACACCUACGGGUGGCAGCAAUCGAGAAUCGUUGGCAAUGGGCGAAAGCCUGACCACGCGACGCCGCGUGCGGGAUGAAGCCUUUCGGGGUGUAAACCGCUGUGGUAGGGGAAGAAGGUGAGCUUGCUCACUUGACGGUACCCUACUAGAAAGUAGCCGCUAACUUCGUGCCAGAAGCGUCGGUGAUACGAGGGCUACAAGCGUUAUCCGGUGUAACUGGGCGUAAAGGGUUCGUAGGCGGUUCUUCAAGUUACUUUUUAAAUAUCCCGACUUAAUCGGGAAAAGGGAAGUAAUACUGUAGAACUGGAGUUUUCUUUAGGGUAAUCGGAAUUAAUAGAGGAGUAGUGAAAUGCGUUGAUACUAUUAAGAACACCAAUGGCGAAGGCAGAUUACUGGAAGAUAACUGACGCUGAGGAACGAAAGCUAGGGGAGCGAACCGGAUUAGAGACCCGGGUAGUCCUAGCCGUAAACGAUGCUCGCUAGUUGCAUUUUUCCGGAACUAUUUUAGAGCUGGAAAGGUGUGGCGAAGCUAACGCGUUAAGCGAGCCGCCUGGGAAGUACGGUCGCAAGACUGAAACUCAAAGGAAUUGGCGGGGAGACACACAACUAGUGGAUCAUGUGGUUUAAUUCGAGACGAACCGAAGAACCUCACCAGGGUUUGACAUUAAGCUGCACGCUGCGGGAAACCGCGGAAGCUUUCGAAGGUGCUUAACAGCUGCUGCAUGGCUGUCGUCAGUUCGUUCCGUGAGGAGUGCCCUUAAGUGGGACAACGAACGUAACCCUUGCCUUAUGUUAUAUUUGUCAUAAGGAACUGCCUCACCGAUGGUGGGGAGGAAGGAGAGGCAGACGUCAAGUCAGCAUGGCGCUUACACCCUGGGCUACACACAUGAUACAAUGAGACGGACAGAAGGUUGCCAAACCGUAAGGUGGAGCUAAUCCUAUAAACCGUCUCUCAGUGGGGAUAGAGGUCUGCAACUCGACCUCUUGAACAUGGAAUUAGUAGUAAUCGCGGGUCAGCUAUACCGCGGUGAAUACGUUCUUGUCUCUUGCACACACUGCCCGUCAAGCCAACAAAGUCGGUGGUAUCUGAAGGCUCCGCUUGCGGGGACGAAGGUAAAAUCGGCGAUGGGGACU
RNAcentral lists this ribosomal RNA (1439 nucleotides) under uncultured bacterium. RNAcentral describes it as "bacterial SSU rRNA". It matches the Rfam family "Bacterial small subunit ribosomal RNA". The record is from RNAcentral.